Long non-coding RNA from Amphiprion ocellaris (clown anemonefish), 3150 nucleotides. RefSeq lists it as uncharacterized. The transcript has 2 exons. The record is from RefSeq and is a predicted model, not a curated record. Lineage: Eukaryota; Metazoa; Chordata; Actinopteri; Pomacentridae.
AAGAGGCUGAGAGUUGAAGAUCACAGGGUGAGGGACACAGGGUAGGAGGGAGAGUGGUCAGCCCAAAAAUUCAGGACAGUGUCAAAAAAAAACAAAUAGAAGGAAGCACGCUCUACUGUCUCCUCCAUCUAUGAAACGCAAAAAUCGAUUUGCAAAACAAACUGGAAUGUCAACACACCAUGACUUAGGCAAUUAGUCAGUUAGGAUUUUUCAAAUACUUUCUCAAGUGCAGGUUUUUAAAAGUUUUAGUUUACGUCCACAGUUCGCGCAUGCCCAUUUUGCUUUGUGGAAUGAGCAUGCACCAGCAACAACAAUGGCGGAUUUGUAAACAGGGUUCUUUACAUUUGGUUAGCUUUAGCAUUAUUUCUUCUCCCUAAACUUUAUAUAAACGAUUUGCAGGAAUGUCAGAGUACUCCUGGGUAUUACAUAUGCAUCUCGUCUGAGAAACUGGGUAUAGGGCAAGUUUUUGAUUACGGAUGAAAAGCAGAAAAUGAUUUGUCAGUUUUUUAAAAUAGAUUUCAAUAUCAAACAUACAGCUGAUCCUAAAUGAAAUACUGUUAUGCUCCAGAGAAAAAGUGAUGGACAAAUUCAUUUGCUGAGUUCCAAACUCUGCUAAGAAUCUGGGAGUGAAGGAUCACACAGGGUCAUCAGUCCCAAGGUUGGGAUGUUGUAAAAGCUGUUGCAGCCUCCACCCCCACAUUGGUGAUCCAUAGUGCAUCACAUCCAGGAAGAUGCCGAAGAAGUCUUGAGAAAUGAAUUCCAGUCAAAGCUCCCUCCACUAAUGGAUUUACCAAUAAAAGUCAGAUAUUGGAUCCAUUUUAUCUGUCAAGAAUAGGGGCCUAAAGUGUAAACAGAAUUUCCAAACCUUAAAUAGUAUUUUAAUACCUUUAUAGGUGAGCUUGGCUGACACUUUUUAUGGAAGGAGGAACCCCGACACUACAUACAGCAUUGUUCCUGUGCUCCACAUCCACACAUGAUCAAACAAGUCUAAAUAUUUUUUCUCUACACAGUUCUGAUAUGACCACCGCAAAUACUGUCCAAAUAUCACUACAGAGCAAUAGUUUCCUGCUACUAUAAUAAUUUCACUAGAAAAAAGACUCUCCCAGAGGCACAACGAUCAUCUCGAGGAAUGCUGCAAUGUCACAUGUAAACCCAGUAUGUCACAACAUUCAUGAAAAUGCAGUCCUGAGUGACUGCUUGUGCUUCUCACUCACAGCCACCUCAGAUCACUACGCUUCAAAAGGGAAAUGGUGCGACAUUUAUUCCACUACAUUUAUUUUUGAAAAUACAUGCAGAAAACACAUGUAUGGUUAUAGGUUAGUGUAUCAAACACUGGAAAUGGACACACCUCCAUCGAUAACAGGGUUAAAAAAUGGAGCUCAUACAUAAGCAAAAAAAAAAAAACAUCCACAAUCUGAAAGGGACUAAAGUAGGUCAUGAGCGCCUUUAUUUAUUCACCUAUCCUAUUACGCAGAGUUGAAUACAUGACUUGCAACAAGGUGCUUUUUGUGUUACAUUUUGUUUAUCUGUAUUGGUUCUGUUACCAAAUGAUCACCUGGAAAUCUGUCAGGACGCAAACUUCAACUUGAAACAGUCCUCUACCAAUUCCUGUAAACCCAGAAGCAAAUUCCCGUAAAUCCUAAAUCCUAUUUCAGUUUCCUUAUGACUGGUUGAUGGGAAGUUAUUCGCACGGAAUUCCCCUAUGCCUGGAAAGCCCUUUAACUCUCUAACAUACAGUCAGCCAACCAGUCGCUCGGCGGAGGACGCGCAGAGACGGAUGCGCUCGUACUCAGCUGCCGGUGACAAUGACUGUAGAAUGGACAUCAGGGCAUUAGUUGUGCUGGCCAGUGCAGGGCAGAGAGCCGUGGAGGGAAUGGGAGCGGAGUCCGACGGAGCAGCCAGAACAGCCAAGUAAGCGAGGAGAGGUGGAGAACCAACAGGAUCAUCAUCAUCCGGCAACUGUCUUAGUCUCGGUCAACCUGCUUUAACUAUAUCAUCUUCAGAAUGCUUGAGAAUACUUGAGAGAAAGAAUAUUAUCAGCCUUUCUGUCAGUUUUGUCUCCUCUGUCGUUUUCCUCUCUUUCUUCCUUCUUUUUCUCUCUUUUCUUUAAUUUCUUCUUAUUAUUUCCAAAGUCCUUUUAAUUUGAAUGACCAGAUUUGCACAAUCAUCCACUUGCAGUUUUACACUUGAAACCAUAUCACCUCUGCCAACCUUCCACCUUAACUAUAUUGUCUAAAUCUUUACAAUUUAUUCCACAUCACCUCUUAAAUAAGGAUGAUUCACUCCACUAACUACAACAGCAACCAUAUUUUAGAUAUAUUUUUAAUUAUCAAAUUUAUUUCAAUUUUUAGUUUAAGUUUAGUUUCAAAAUGUAGGUUCUCAGAACACCACUUAAAAUGUAUUAUAGUUUCCUCAGUGACACGUCAAUUCAGAAGAAAAUACUGAUCUUUCUCAUACCAGUCUGUUCAUUCCAUCACCUCCGUUCUUCCCACCAGGCUGAUAUCCUGACCUCACAAUCCAAAACCAAUUUCUUAAGGAAACUGUGGUCGAGGUCUUUUCUCAGGAGAAGUCCAUGUCUGGGUGGGAAGACACGAGGAUACUGGGAUUCCAGAUGACCCCCCAAGUUAUGUAAGAAAAAUUCUAUAAGAGAUCAGUUCAGAGUAGUAAGAUCUAGAUUAUAGCAGAAUGCACAUUCCGGGCUCAAUCUUACAGCAAGAGAGGUUAUUAAAGAGAAGAGCAGCUUCUCUCAGUCUAAUGCUCCUUUAUACACAGAGGCAAUUUUGGAACAUCCUUUGGCUAGAGUAGAUGCAGAGUUGACAACACAGAACACAUUCCAGUUUGCAACUGCAACGGUCAAGGUCUCAAGGACUUUAUCUGUCUUUACACAACAUUCAGUGAGGAGUAUUUUUCCCUCAGACUACAUGUGUUUUCAAUUCUCUUUCAAGGUAAGUACGUAGUGACACAUACUGCCUUGUUUCAGCUGUAUAAAGCAUUUUUUAUACCUCGCAAUCUAUUUGAUAAAAACCCGCGAGUCUAUGAGCCAUAACUAAAAGCAGCCAUCUCUAAAAUAUGACUUUGCUUUCUUCCACCAGGCACUGUAACAUUAUCUUUUGCUACAUUUUUGAGUAAAUAAAAGACAGUAAUAUACCA